UCUGCUUGAUUGUCUAUCCUA
Caenorhabditis elegans is the source of this 21-nucleotide non-coding RNA. NCBI's taxonomy places the organism in Eukaryota, Metazoa, Nematoda, Chromadorea, Rhabditida, Rhabditidae. The record is from Ensembl.